CUGGGGUUGGCUGGGUGACCCUUUGUGGCAUCCCCGGGGUGGCUGGGGAAGCCCAGCUUCAUUCCCUGGAUCUGGGGAACGCUGGGAAUGUUCCAGCAGCUCCAUGGGUGAGAAAAACCCCAAAAGGUGCCGCUAAAGCCGCGAGAGAAACCAAAAACAUUCGAGCAGAAGAUGCUGCAGGAGCUGCUUUGCCCUCCCAGGGGGAGGUGAGAGCUGAGUUGAUUGAGAUGGAAAAUUCCUGAGAUUUGCAAGUCAAAGAAAGACAAAUGAGUUGUAAGAGGUCGAUGCUCUUCUGGGUCAGGGGCUUUAACCAGCGACAAAUCCCUGCUUGUUCCCAGGAUGUGGAAAUUUGGGGGUUGCUACCUGAGCUGAUGAGGAUUCGUGGCUGGAAGUGUGGCCUGGGAAUGCCUGGAAAUGCUGGGAUGGGAGAAGUUUAAAUCCAGGGGUGACAUCUGCGUCCCGAAUUUUGUACAAUUCCACGUGUUACACAGCAAUGAUUUAAUGUGCUCACACAUCUAAUGAAAAGAAUUUGAAUUUAAUGCAAAAAUGAGGAAGAGAUAUGAGGCCAUUUUGACCCCUAAUCCAUCUGCCCAUCCCAGCAGAUCCCAGAGCCUGGAAUUCUGUUCCUAAAUUCCCCAGCCUCAUUUUAACUUCCUUGUGAUUUUCUUUUUCUUUUCUUUUUUUUCCCCCCCCCUCGCUCCUCUAUUUGCAAUUUCAGUCAGCCGAGCGAGAGAGCGCUUGCCACGCACCGAGACAUCCCUUUAACUCCCUUUCCUGGAUGUAAUUUCUCGGAAUUUUUGUGAAAUCCAUCUGCAUGGAUCCCAGUGCAUACAAAUCCAAUGACACCAUUCUAAUCAGCCUUAAAUGCUGCAGCAGCCCGCUCCCAUUUAAGCUAAUAGCUCCCAGCAGGCAAAGGUUGUUAUCCUUUAUGGACCAGCCCUCUGGGGAGCCACAGGGAACAGCUUGGAACAACAGGGAAUGCAUUUGGAAGUUGCCAAACUUUACUUACUGCCUCGCAGGGCUUUGGGAUUUGAGGAGAAAACUCGAGGGAGCUCCAGUUUGAGAAAUCCCAGCGAGUUCAGGGGAUUAACACGUGGCCUUCCAGGCGGGGAUGUUGGAGGCAAAAUCCUUGGGAAAUGCCAGAGCUCUGCUAACAGUUGCUGCUGGUUGGAUGUUGUGUUCCCUGGGAUCCCUGAGGAUGGGCUGCUCCAGCCUCAGCGAUGGAGGGCAGGAGAUCUCCUGUGGUUGUCCCAGAAAUGGGAAAAUGUUCAUCCCAGGAAGAGGAGGCAGCUUUUCUGGAUUUUAUGGCACAGCAGCAGGUCCUGCUUGGUCCCAAAAGGAGACAGAUCCCGGUUGCCCAGGUUGGAAAAGACCUUUAAGACCAUCAAACCCAACCAUUAAAGAGAUGUAAAUGUGCAAAUGCUCCUGGGUGGGGUUUAAUGGUGAGGGUGUGGAAUUCCCAAGGUUUGCCAUGGGAUGGGAUUGGAUCUCUGCCCGCUGUGUGCCCUGGCAGAGCUUCUCCCAAAAAACCAAAGGUGAUCUACAGGAUGCUGGACCUGGAUCAGCUGAGCCAGAGUGUUUAUUCCCCAAAAU
This 1593-nucleotide long non-coding RNA is filed under the name Cyanistes caeruleus (blue tit). RNAcentral's name for it is "lncRNA (ENSCCEG00000013856.1)". Lineage: Eukaryota; Metazoa; Chordata; Aves; Passeriformes; Paridae. The record is from RNAcentral.